Molecule: ribosomal RNA, 237 nt
Filed under: uncultured bacterium
Lineage: Bacteria
Description: partial 16S ribosomal RNA
Rfam family: Bacterial small subunit ribosomal RNA
Source: RNAcentral
UGGCGGACGGGUGAGUAACGCGUGGGUAACCUGCCUCAUACAGGGGAUAACAGUUAGAAAUGGCUGCUAAUACCGCAUAAGACCACAGCACCGCAUGGUGCAGGGGUAAAAACUCCGGUGGUAUGAGAUGGACCCGCGUCUGAUUAGCUGGUUGGUGGGGUAACGGCCUACCAAGGCGACGAUCAGUAGCCGACCUGAGAGGGUGACCGGCCACAUUGGGACUGGGACACGGCCCAA